CAAAGAAAAACCACUUGGCUAGAACUGAAUAGAGAUAAUCCCACCAUCAGAAUCAAUGAAUGAGUCUCGUACAUCCGAUGCAUUUGGUAACACCUUUCAAAAUUGUAGGAUUGGAUUGAAGAAAUGGUAGAAUAUGUGAAGUUGUGGGGGUGAGGAGGAUGUUCUGGAGCAUCCAAAUAUGCAUGCCAUACACAUGCUGCAGAGGUUUUUAGGCAGAGAGACUUUCUGAAUUCUACGAAGCAUUCAAAGGUGUUCAUAUCGGUACCUUUGAACUUCAUUUCUCAAUUAUUUUCACUGAAGUGCUCAAGCUAUUAAUUUGACAUAAGUGCAAUUAUAACUAUGUAGGUUCCAACCGUGUCUAGAUGUUCAUCGAGUAGGUAGUUCAUCCACUAUGUAACCUUGCGCUACAUUCAUCAUGUGCUGUUUUUGAAGUCUAAAUUAUAUUUGUUCACUUCGCCAAGAAGUUUUUUGGAAGGCAUCAAAAUUUUAUUUAAGAAUAUAUGAUUUUCAAAGAGGCGUUCUAUGUGUAAGAGCUCACUUGGGAAGGAUUAAUUAGCAACACUUUGGGUAGAUGAUUUCCAAUUCUCUUUUAAAGUGUAUAAAAUAGUGAGCUUUUCGUUUCUUUAUGAUCUUAUUGAUGGGUCCUAAUUGAGACAAAAAAAUUACUUAAAAUUUGAUGCCUUUUGAUAGAGGGUCCUCUUCUCAUACUAAUAAUUGGUUUAUCAAUACAAAAUACUAAUGAAAAUUUUC
This is a long non-coding RNA of Ananas comosus (pineapple), 750 nucleotides long. RefSeq lists it as uncharacterized. The transcript is spliced from 3 exons. The record is from RefSeq and is a predicted model, not a curated record. Lineage: Eukaryota; Viridiplantae; Streptophyta; Magnoliopsida; Poales; Bromeliaceae.